Molecule: unclassified non-coding RNA, 329 nt
Filed under: soil metagenome
Description: partial contains 5.8S ribosomal RNA, internal transcribed spacer 2, and large subunit ribosomal RNA
Rfam family: 5.8S ribosomal RNA (bases 1-120)
Source: RNAcentral
GAUGAAGAACGUAGCGAAAUGCGAUAAGUAAUGUGAAUUGCAGAAUUCAGUGAAUCAUCGAAUCUUUGAACGCACAUUGCGCCCCCUGGUAUUCCGGGGGGCAUGCCUGUCCGAGCGUCAUUACAACCCUCAAGCUCAGCUUGGUGUUGGGCCCCGCCGCCCCGGCGGGCCCUAAAGUCGGUGGCGGUGCCGUCCGGCUCCGAGCGUAGUAAUUCUUCUCGCUCUGGAGGUCCGGUCGUGUGCUCGCCAGCAACCCCCAAUUUUUUUCAGGUUGACCUCGGAUCAGGUAGGGAUACCCGCUGAACUUAAGCAUAUCAAUAAGCGGAGGA